This 2443-nucleotide ribosomal RNA is filed under the name Escherichia coli. Its description in RNAcentral is "bacterial LSU rRNA". It matches the Rfam family "Bacterial large subunit ribosomal RNA", at positions 398 to 2826 of the family's 2925-position model. The record is from RNAcentral. Lineage: Bacteria; Pseudomonadati; Pseudomonadota; Gammaproteobacteria; Enterobacterales; Enterobacteriaceae.
UGUGAGCUCGAUGAGUAGGGCGGGACACGUGGUAUCCUGUCUGAAUAUGGGGGGACCAUCCUCCAAGGCUAAAUACUCCUGACUGACCGAUAGUGAACCAGUACCGUGAGGGAAAGGCGAAAAGAACCCCGGCGAGGGGAGUGAAAAAGAACCUGAAACCGUGUACGUACAAGCAGUGGGAGCACGCUUAGGCGUGUGACUGCGUACCUUUUGUAUAAUGGGUCAGCGACUUAUAUUCUGUAGCAAGGUUAACCGAAUAGGGGAGCCGAAGGGAAACCGAGUCUUAACUGGGCGUUAAGUUGCAGGGUAUAGACCCGAAACCCGGUGAUCUAGCCAUGGGCAGGUUGAAGGUUGGGUAACACUAACUGGAGGACCGAACCGACUAAUGUUGAAAAAUUAGCGGAUGACUUGUGGCUGGGGGUGAAAGGCCAAUCAAACCGGGAGAUAGCUGGUUCUCCCCGAAAGCUAUUUAGGUAGCGCCUCGUGAAUUCAUCUCCGGGGGUAGAGCACUGUUUCGGCAAGGGGGUCAUCCCGACUUACCAACCCGAUGCAAACUGCGAAUACCGGAGAAUGUUAUCACGGGAGACACACGGCGGGUGCUAACGUCCGUCGUGAAGAGGGAAACAACCCAGACCGCCAGCUAAGGUCCCAAAGUCAUGGUUAAGUGGGAAACGAUGUGGGAAGGCCCAGACAGCCAGGAUGUUGGCUUAGAAGCAGCCAUCAUUUAAAGAAAGCGUAAUAGCUCACUGGUCGAGUCGGCCUGCGCGGAAGAUGUAACGGGGCUAAACCAUGCACCGAAGCUGCGGCAGCGACGCUGAUGCGUUGUUGGGUAGGGGAGCGUUCUGUAAGCCUGCGAAGGUGUGCUGUGAGGCAUGCUGGAGGUAUCAGAAGUGCGAAUGCUGACAUAAGUAACGAUAAAGCGGGUGAAAAGCCCGCUCGCCGGAAGACCAAGGGUUCCUGUCCAACGUUAAUCGGGGCAGGGUGAGUCGACCCCUAAGGCGAGGCCGAAAGGCGUAGUCGAUGGGAAACAGGUUAAUAUUCCUGUACUUGGUGUUACUGCGAAGGGGGGACGGAGAAGGCUAUGUUGGCCGGGCGACGGUUGUCCCGGUUUAAGCGUGUAGGCUGGUUUUCCAGGCAAAUCCGGAAAAUCAAGGCUGAGGCGUGAUGACGAGGCACUACGGUGCUGAAGCAACAAAUGCCCUGCUUCCAGGAAAAGCCUCUAAGCAUCAGGUAACAUCAAAUCGUACCCCAAACCGACACAGGUGGUCAGGUAGAGAAUACCAAGGCGCUUGAGAGAACUCGGGUGAAGGAACUAGGCAAAAUGGUGCCGUAACUUCGGGAGAAGGCACGCUGAUAUGUAGGUGAAGCGACUUGCUCGUGGAGCUGAAAUCAGUCGAAGAUACCAGCUGGCUGCAACUGUUUAUUAAAAACACAGCACUGUGCAAACACGAAAGUGGACGUAUACGGUGUGACGCCUGCCCGGUGCCGGAAGGUUAAUUGAUGGGGUUAGCGCAAGCGAAGCUCUUGAUCGAAGCCCCGGUAAACGGCGGCCGUAACUAUAACGGUCCUAAGGUAGCGAAAUUCCUUGUCGGGUAAGUUCCGACCUGCACGAAUGGCGUAAUGAUGGCCAGGCUGUCUCCACCCGAGACUCAGUGAAAUUGAACUCGCUGUGAAGAUGCAGUGUACCCGCGGCAAGACGGAAAGACCCCGUGAACCUUUACUAUAGCUUGACACUGAACAUUGAGCCUUGAUGUGUAGGAUAGGUGGGAGGCUUUGAAGUGUGGACGCCAGUCUGCAUGGAGCCGACCUUGAAAUACCACCCUUUAAUGUUUGAUGUUCUAACGUUGACCCGUGAUCCGGGUUGCGGACAGUGUCUGGUGGGUAGUUUGACUGGGGCGGUCUCCUCCUAAAGAGUAACGGAGGAGCACGAAGGUUGGCUAAUCCUGGUCGGACAUCAGGAGGUUAGUGCAAUGGCAUAAGCCAGCUUGACUGCGAGCGUGACGGCGCGAGCAGGUGCGAAAGCAGGUCAUAGUGAUCCGGUGGUUCUGAAUGGAAGGGCCAUCGCUCAACGGAUAAAAGGUACUCCGGGGAUAACAGGCUGAUACCGCCCAAGAGUUCAUAUCGACGGCGGUGUUUGGCACCUCGAUGUCGGCUCAUCACAUCCUGGGGCUGAAGUAGGUCCCAAGGGUAUGGCUGUUCGCCAUUUAAAGUGGUACGCGAGCUGGGUUUAGAACGUCGUGAGACAGUUCGGUCCCUAUCUGCCGUGGGCGCUGGAGAACUGAGGGGGGCUGCUCCUAGUACGAGAGGACCGGAGUGGACGCAUCACUGGUGUUCGGGUUGUCAUGCCAAUGGCACUGCCCGGUAGCUAAAUGCGGAAGAGAUAAGUGCUGAAAGCAUCUAAGCACGAAACUUGCCCCGAGAUGAGUUCUCCCUGACUCCUUGA